RNAcentral lists this long non-coding RNA (3105 nucleotides) under Equus caballus (horse). RNAcentral describes it as "lncRNA (ENSECAG00000049663.1)". Lineage: Eukaryota; Metazoa; Chordata; Mammalia; Perissodactyla; Equidae. The record is from RNAcentral.
UCGCCGGCACAGGAACCCCUACAGGCUCCAGAGGCCCUGAGCGCGCCCCCUACGAGGCUUGUUCUCUGGCGUCUCUGAUUGGCCAGCUCCCUUCGCGCAGACUAGCGUCCUUUCGGCUGCUGGGUAGCUCCUCUUCCCUCGCUGGGCGAGGCUCUAAAGCCCAUGUGCAGCACAUUGAGGAUCUUCCGAUCGGUCUUCGCUGAUGCUUUUCUCGUUUCCCUCUAAGGGCGAGAUCACUGGGAAAGGAGCUGAUGCUGGUGGAAUCUUCAGGUGAUGAAGAUGGAGACUCCAGGUCUGAGUCGGCUGGAAAUAAAAAGAGACUCCCUGCAUUAGAGACCAUCCACAGGGCAUCCUUGGAAGCUGUGACCUGAAGGUGGACAAGCCACAGGAUGGAAGGAGCUGCAUCUCUAAGUCACCAGUGAAGAACAGUCACCCUCAAUGGGUUUGGAGAGAAGUCUUCUCUGAUAUCCACUUUUAAGUCCCGAUUAUAAUCCACUCGUUUCAUUCUCGCAGCACUCAGUGUGGUUUAGGGGAAAUUCUAGAUUCUCAUAUCUUGGUCAUGGAUGAUAAGGAAAGGGCCUUUCCAUAUAUGUGAGGCAAAGCAGAGCAGGGUGAGGGGGUAAGGCUCCUCAGGGUAAGGAAGGCCCUGCAGAAGAAUGGAGUGGUGUUGCGGAGGCAGGUAGCCGAGGGAGGGGAGCAGUGCCAUCAGGAUGGGUCCUCAGGGUCUGUCAGCAUCCACCAGAAUCUGGCAGAGCUAUUUAGAGAAACUGAUAGAAAGCUGUACCUACUGCAGUCACAAAGGAUCAGGCUCAGAAUCACGGAUAAACUGAGGAUUAAUGUCUCCAUUUAUUGAUAAGGAAAUUAAGUUUUAUGGAGAUUAGAAUGUUUGUACGUAAUACAGUGCUUAGUUCAUAGUAGAUGCACAAUAAAUAUUUGUUGAAUGAAGGGCCUAAGACUUUUAAUGCUUAUGCCUUCUAUAAGGGAUUGAGAAUUUACCCAUUCCGUGGUAUAUAGAGGGGUAUGGUACUGGUGCCCAGGACAGACACAUUGUGGUUGGGUGCAAUGUUUUAAAAAGUUUGAAUGUUAGUGUGCUUUCUGGUAUUCCCUAGGCCCUACCACUCCCUGUUGCCUUAUCACUCACCCAGUUCACACGAUGAUGUCAUCCGUCUGUCCCCCUGAGCUUCAGUUGUGUGGAAUUCCUUCCUACACUCUCCUGUUCACAAGUCACCUUUUAAAUAGAGCUUAUCCCUAACUCUGUUGUUUUGCCCUCUCCCUUCUCCUUCCUGCCAUUGCCUUCCCAUCCUCUCCCUCCUAUUAUCUAUCCACAUAUGUCCUCUCUAUUUUUUCUCAAGUUUUUUAACCUUGUCAGUGUCGCAAUCCAAUGUACACAUCAGGAUAGAUGCGGAGAGGGCUGAUGGCCACUCUGAGUUUAUUAUAACCAGCGUUUCAAUAUAUACAUAGCUUACAGCUGUUAAACAUACACAGGUGUUCUGGAUGAAGUAAUUAGUGAAUGCCAAGAAUUCUUCGUGAUUUCUCAAGGAGCCCUCCCUUGGCCUCUGUUUUGAUAUUAUCAUGUUAUUGCUGUGCUCCUAUACUUUUAUCUCGGAGCAGGCAAGGCCUCUUAGGCAAUGGUCCCUCCUGCUCCCGAUAUCGAUAUCGUUUCUCCAUCUGUGCCCCUGGGCGGCCGCCGCCUGGCUUAGGUUGCCCCCCCAGGGGUCUUACCAGUCAUUGGCUAACCGGCCUUCUCACCUCCGGGUCACAGUUUGUUGGCAAGCUUUUUCCAGUGAUUAUUAACCCUUCCUAUGUCAGGGGCGGCUACAAACCUUAUAAGCAUAAAUUCUUAGGCAGCUAUGCCUAAUAUGAUGAACUAGGAAACCUAAGCCAAGAACAGAGUUGUAUUCAGAUAUACCUUCUACAAGUUUCUAUUAUACAUAUUUAAAGAUACAUAAAUAUUAUUGUAUUGUGUAGUUAUUAGGCAGUUAGCAGUGCUUAUAAAUUAUAUUUAAUGUAACCUUUAUAAACAUUCCCAUUUUAUAGUUAUUCAGUUUUUACUAGCUGCUAACUACCUGGGCAUCUUGCAUGAGUCAUUUUAUUGUAUUGUUUUCUUAUCUACUGAACAAGGGGUUUAGAAGGCAUUGUCUUUAAGGAAAUUUACAGGUACAUAUGUAAGGCCCUGUGACUGUGUGAUUACUACCUGGACUGAUAAAACCUAAAGCAAGGGAAGUGGGGAGAAUGGUGUAGUGCAGAGGGGAAGCUGCCUGUUGCUAACUGCACAAAGUUCUCCUAGAAACCUCCUCUGUAAAAGGAGCUUAAGAACCUACAUCCCCAGGAGACCUCUGGGACCAGUUUUUCUGGAUCCCCUGAGACCAGAUAAUUGGAUAAAGCUGUACAUUCUCAUCCUGAUCCUUUCUGGUCACAGUCCAAAAUGUCCCUUUGUGGUCACAGUCCUCUCCACAGUCUGCUCAGUGCCACCUCCUCUGGCACCCCAGGUGCUGAGGAUCAUCCCCUUUGCCGUACACGCGUCCAUGUUACCUGUGGGGACUGUGUGGUGUGGGAAGGAAACUCCCUCCGCCUGCACCUCCUGUGUGCCCCAGGCCUUCAUGGAAUCCCAGGUCUCUCCAGAGAGUUGCUUUUUUGGGUGGUCUCUCCUGGAAUUCCUGCUGGGUUUUUAUAGUCAUUCCUCUCCCCAUUCCCCACAGACCUCCUCCCCCUCUUCCUUUCUGUUUUGCCACCAUACCAGAUGUUACUUUUACCACAGGGCCUUUUCCCUGUUUACAGAGAAAACCAAAGCCAUCAGGAGGAACUCCACCAACAUGGAAUCCAACGUAUUGAUUGUUACGUCUUGCGGAAAUAUGGGAGACAGGAAAUCACAUUCAACAUAUGAUCUGACACCAUCCCUGCUCUCCAUAUCAGCUGCUCUUUCAGUGUUCCCAUUCUUCAUGAAGGAAUGUUCCGAUCACCUGCUUGCUCCAGUUAAAACCAUGAUGCACAAAGAAGAGUGUACAUGAGGACACAGUGAGAAGGCGGCCAUCGGCAAGACAAGAAGAGAGCUCUCAUCAGAAACCAAAUCUGUCAGCACUUUGAUUUGGGACUUCUAGCCUCUGG